Molecule: long non-coding RNA, 691 nt
Organism: Oncorhynchus gorbuscha (pink salmon)
Lineage: Eukaryota; Metazoa; Chordata; Actinopteri; Salmoniformes; Salmonidae
Exons: 3
Source: RefSeq, a predicted model, not a curated record
CAAGGACAGGUGAACCAGAUCAGGGUGUGACAGUUUGUCUGUUUUAAAAAUUGUUUACCAUGAUGAAAUAAUCAGGUGGUGGAAAUUUCACCCUCAAAAGAACUGUUACGUUGAUGACUUUUUGCAAAUCCUAAGUAUUUUUUUCUCCACGUUUCCAUGUCACAAUAAGUUGACAAAGUUAAGUUGAAAAACAUUGGUUCAAACAUUUUGUGCCCAGUGGGUAUGUUGCUAUUUUCUAUCUCUCCAAAGCUCAGAUGUUUCCAAUUUCACACUGUACUACAAGGUCUCUGUGGAAGACAGAUCGUCUCCUCUCUGUGACUUUCCAAACAGUCCUCUGCUUUUCCAAUUUUACCCCUAAAAGCCAACAACAACACAAUUUACACACGACUGGCAUGUAUUUUGGCCUGGUCUUGCUUCGUCUCUCCAGUGCAGGACACUCCCCAUUUCCACUGCCUUUCCUUGUGUUUCUACAGUUUACACUUCAAUGUGACUGAGACAAGUCAUUUGCCAGUGGGUUGUGUACACACUGCACAUGGGCGUGAGCAGAGCCGUAUAAGCUUGGAGCUACUACAAAGUCUGAAAGUCAACACAUUGUCUUCAGAAAGUAUUCACACCCCUUGACUUUUUUCACAUUUUGCAAUUUAAAUUGACAUUUUGUGUCACUGAACUACACACAAUACCUCAAACUCAA